Daphnia carinata is the source of this 790-nucleotide long non-coding RNA. RefSeq lists it as uncharacterized. The transcript has 5 exons. The record is from RefSeq and is a predicted model, not a curated record. Lineage: Eukaryota; Metazoa; Arthropoda; Branchiopoda; Diplostraca; Daphniidae.
UGGUACGCGUUAUGUUGCAGGUGUUUAACGUUGUCGAUGUUGCAACGGAUACGAAUAAUUUUUACCGGGUGCAGUAGAGCCUAGUGCCGAGCGAUUCGUUUUUGACGCAUAAUAACGUUUUUCCCAGUGCCUUGGAGCUGGUUAAUGGUUCGUCUGCUAGGCAUUUACUUUGUUUCUCGAUCAAUUCCUAGGAGUAGUGUAUCUUUUGUGUCCUUGUAAAUUACUCAAAAUGAGAAAACAAUGUCGCAAUAUUUCGCUAUGGAUAAACAAAUCUAGAGGUAACGACAUUGCGAUGUCACACAGUAGAUGGUUGAUGGGAAGGAUGACCGACAAAGCAAGACACGAAAAAAAAUCCUAAAAAGUUUUGGUUGGUACCUGUUCACUUGGAUUAGCAAUAGCUAAUUUACGUCCACCUGCUCCCCAUUGCAAGAUUCUUUUUGACGCGCGGAAGGACAAGUUCGAUUGAAAUACGAUUUGCCAGGUCUGCGUGAAAAACUUCCGGCGUUCUAUAAGGAGAAGCUAAAAACAGGCCGUCAGGAGAAAAGGAGACAUCCCAGAUGGAAUUGGUUUGUACGGGCAAACUAAGGACUGGAUCGCUAUUGCCACGGCUAUCCCAUAAGACUACAGAUCCAUCCUCUAAUCCGCUGCAAUCCAACUUGAUUCAGCUAUCGAAUCAUCAUCAAGGUACCAAGCUAAACACGUGGGUCUUUUCAUUCUUUCAUUUUUUACUAAAUAAAUAGGCUCGUUGGUCUCGAUCGACCAUACCUGUACAGAAACAGCGUUUGAGCUG